This 301-nucleotide ribosomal RNA is filed under the name uncultured bacterium. RNAcentral's name for it is "partial 16S ribosomal RNA". It matches the Rfam family "Bacterial small subunit ribosomal RNA", at positions 509 to 808 of the family's 1533-position model. The record is from RNAcentral.
CAGUAGCCGCGGGAAAACGAAGGGGGCUAGCGUUGUUCGGAAUUACUGGGCGUAAAGCGCACGUAGGCGGAUCGAUCAGUCAGGGGUGAAAUCCCAGGGCUCAACCCUGGAACUGCCUUUGAUACUGUCGAUCUGGAGUAUGGAAGAGGUGAGUGGAAUUCCGAGUGUAGAGGUGAAAUUCGUAGAUAUUCGGAGGAACACCAGUGGCGAAGGCGGCUCACUGGUCCAUUACUGACGCUGAGGUGCGAAAGCGUGGGGAGCAAACAGGAUUAGAUACCCGGUAGUCCCUGUCUCUUAUACA